Molecule: non-coding RNA, 73 nt
Organism: Potamilus streckersoni
Lineage: Eukaryota; Metazoa; Mollusca; Bivalvia; Unionida; Unionidae
Source: the annotation of a GenBank genome assembly
GGUCCGUUGGACUAGUGGUAAGAGCGUCCACCUGGGAUGCGGGAGGUCGUGGGUUCGAACCCCGUCCGAUUCA